Chinchilla lanigera (long-tailed chinchilla) is the source of this 809-nucleotide long non-coding RNA. Ensembl lists it as uncharacterized. The record is from Ensembl. Lineage: Eukaryota; Metazoa; Chordata; Mammalia; Rodentia; Chinchillidae.
UGAUGUCAAGAUAAAUGCAGAUCUGCCCCUGUUAUCCAUCUCCUAAAGGCACAAGACUGCAUAUCUUUUUUUUUUGUUUGUUUGUUUUUCUCCGGUACCGGGAACCGAACUCACGACCUUGAGCUUGCCAGGCAGGCGCUUUGCCGCUGAGCUAAAUCCCCAGCCCCUUAGACUGCAUAUCUUUGUAUAGCCUAGAAGUCUUGGGAGUUUGGCUUUUGCUCACCUUCCUGUCUCCUCUCUCACCGAGGCCUACGUUCCUCAGCCUUCUCUGCAGACCAGUGACUCUCCAGCUCUUUUGUAUCCUAGGCAGCAGGGCAGCAGGCAUGUUCAGUAGAGGGCCAGGUGGAGCGGAGAGGAAAGAAGGCCCGACUAGGGAAUGCAGCAGAGUGUGCCGGGUAAACACUGGAGGCUGCAGAAUGUUCUGGAUCUCCACUUUGCUAAAAUAGGAGCCAGUCAGGAAAGUGGCAGCUGAAUGGUGCAAAAGUGGAUUUAUUUACAUUAAAUAAUACCCUGCCCACUCCCCGGAACCUGGGAUCUGGCCCCUCCUCUGAGUCAGAACGGGAGACUGCGCUCCGUGCAUCGGUAGAAAUUUACUUUCUACGCUGCUUUGCGGUGUUCGGGAUUUGUGUUGGCUGGGAGCAUAAAUCAUUUUUCAAAACGAAUUUUAGUGGAAAUGUUAUUCUUUCCAAUUAAUUAGGGUUUGGAGGCUGAUGUUAUUUGCGCUCAACAAAAAUAUCCAGUCUGCUCAUGAACUAAAAAUGGUUUAAAACUACGGAAGAAGGUGUCUUCCAGCUGAAGGUGUAUUUGGG